AUGGAGAAUCAGCAGCCCAGAUUCUGUGCCCUGCCAGUCUGAAUGUGCUUGACAAUAACAAAGAUCCAUAGCCUUUCUGAUGACACCCAGCACCUCGGAUUCCAUACACACCGGAGUUGAUUUAACCAUCUUACUGCCACCCUGAAAUCUGGGGUCCUUUAUUCUGGCAGGUAAGACCCUUUUGUGUUUCCUGAGACUGGCUUCAGAGACCCCCCCCCUCUAGGCAGAGGGCCAUGUCGCCUGCUGCGUGGUGCUGAGACUGUGCUGCAAUGCAGCAGGAGCUGCGGCGCGCGAGCGGCUGAGGGUCGGAGCUGUCCGGUGUCUGCUUCCCAGAGUGAGGAGUGAAAGAUGCAGGAGAGGGCUUGCAGGCAGUGCGAAGUGGCCAGGCGCCCAGGAAACCCAAGGGAAGAGUGAAGAUGAGGCCAGAGCCUGUGGCUUUUGCAGGAGGGCCAGAAAAGUGUGGGCUCUGGGAACGAUGGAGAGUCAUAAGGGGUUAGUGGACCAGGAGGUCUUUGGGGUCUCAAGGUGAGUCAGUUUGCCGUCCUAUGACUAAGAGUAAAGCGAGGGGGGCUGAAAGCAGCCGAGGCGGCUGCAAACAGCUUUGGGGGUUGGGGGGAAGCAUCAAUUUUUACCUUUCCAGCAAGGCUUAA
Non-coding RNA from Arvicanthis niloticus (Nile rat), 650 nucleotides. The record is from RefSeq and is a predicted model, not a curated record. Lineage: Eukaryota; Metazoa; Chordata; Mammalia; Rodentia; Muridae.